Molecule: ribosomal RNA, 374 nt
Filed under: uncultured bacterium
Lineage: Bacteria
Description: bacterial SSU rRNA
Rfam family: Bacterial small subunit ribosomal RNA
Source: RNAcentral
GACGGAGGGUGCUAGCGUUGUUCGGAAUGACUGGGCGUAAAGGGCGCGUAGGCGGCCGCUUGCGUCGGAUGUGAAAGCCCGGGGCUCAACCCCGGAACGGCAUCCGAUACGGGGCGGCUCGAGACCGAGAGAGGUGAGUGGAAUACCCAGUGUAGAGGUGAAAUUCGUAGAUAUUGGGUGGAACACCGGUGGCGAAAGCGGCUCACUGGCUCGGUUCUGACGCUGAGGCGCGAAAGCGUGGGGAGCAAACAGGAUUAGAUACCCUGGUAGUCCACGCCCUAAACGAUGUGGGCUGGGCGUCGGGGGGCUUGCCCCUCGGUGCCGGAGCUAACGCGGUAAGCCCACCGCCUGGGGAGUACGGCCGCAAGGUUAAA